AAGGAGCACCACGAGAAACACUCCAAUUGGUGGGGUGUAAGCCGUGAGGGGUUCUCGUCUGUAGUGGACGGAAGCCGGGUGCACAACAACAAGCAAGCCAGACACACUAUUGGGUCCUGAGGCAACAUCUCUGUUGGUUUCGGGAUGUUGUCCCACCAUCUUGGUGGUGGGGUGUGGUGUUUGAGAAUUGGAUAGUGGUUGCGAGCAUCAAUUGGAUGCGCUGCCUUUUGGUGGCGUGUUCUGUUGUGCAAUUUUAUUCUUUGGUUUUUGUGU
RNAcentral lists this ribosomal RNA (273 nucleotides) under Mycobacterium ulcerans. The record is from RNAcentral. Lineage: Bacteria; Bacillati; Actinomycetota; Actinomycetes; Mycobacteriales; Mycobacteriaceae.